RNAcentral lists this transfer RNA (72 nucleotides) under Pteridomonas sp. YPF1301. RNAcentral's name for it is "tRNA-Met". It matches the Rfam family "tRNA". Rfam says of the family: Transfer RNA (tRNA) molecules are approximately 80 nucleotides in length. The record is from RNAcentral. Lineage: Eukaryota; Dictyochophyceae; Pedinellales.
GUAUCUAUAGCCAAAAGGUUAGGCACUUGACUCAUAAUCAAGCAUAUAUUGGUUCAAUUCCAAUUAGAUACU